GAUGAAGAACGCAGCGAACUGCGAUAAGUAAUGUGAAUUGCAGAAUUCAGUGAAUCAUCGAGUCUUUGAACGCACAUUGCGCCCUCUGGUAUUCCGGAGGGCAUGCCUGUUCGAGCGUCAUUAUCACCCCUCAAGCCCGGCUUGUUGUUGGAUGCAGCGCUUAUCCCGCUCCUCCCAAAGAUAAUGACGGCGUCUGCGACGACUCCUGUACACUGAGCUUUCGGGCACGUACACGGCUAGAAGUCCAGACCCGGUCGCCGUCCCCCCGCGGGGACACCCAUUACCACAAGGUUGACCUCGGAUCAGGUAGGAAUACCCGCUGAACUUAAGCAUAUCAAUAAGCGGAGGA
Molecule: unclassified non-coding RNA, 349 nt
Filed under: soil metagenome
Description: partial contains 5.8S ribosomal RNA, internal transcribed spacer 2, and large subunit ribosomal RNA
Rfam family: 5.8S ribosomal RNA (bases 1-120)
Source: RNAcentral